This is a long non-coding RNA of Pan troglodytes (chimpanzee), 883 nucleotides long. RefSeq lists it as uncharacterized. Lineage: Eukaryota; Metazoa; Chordata; Mammalia; Primates; Hominidae. The transcript is spliced from 2 exons. The record is from RefSeq and is a predicted model, not a curated record.
CAUGUCCUGGAUAUGCAAAGAGAAGAGGCAACUGGAGAGAACUACCCACAAGAGAAGGAGGAGAAAAGGUGCAGGAAUGGACAGAAACUGGCCAAUCAUGAGGCUGAAUAAGUGGCCCUAAGUCCUACCCUGCUGAAAUAUUCCUGAAAAUGGUUUGAAGACUAGAAAAACCUCUUAUCAAAAUUCUUCAGUGGUUGUUUCUUUCCCUUGUCCUCAAAACUGAGAUUAUUACAGUAUCUUUCUUGUUUAUUCAGUACCUACACCUGGGAUUUCCAGGCUCCUUACAAUGGCAUCCAUCUCUGCUGAUAACCACCGUGCUUGGAACUCUAGCAAGACUGUGGUAACCCUGGGCAACAUAGUAAACAGAGGGCAAAAUAGUAGCCCUCUGUUUGAAGCAGAAGCUAUUUCACACUAGAUGUUGCCUAUGUUCCAGUGGCACAUAAAAUCCCACAUUAAACAAGACAUCAUUUUGUUGUACAUCUUUCAUCAUUACAGUUGGGUAAGGAGGUUGGGGAGAUUUUGUCUCUCACCACCUCUCAGGAAGUUGGAUGUCAACAUAUGAACCCCUCCCCUCUGUUACCAAGGGCGAGAGAUAUUGUGGCUUCUUCUUGGAUCUCUGAAUGGUGGUGAGAUCAAUCUCUGGGCCAGCCAAGUAUGGAACUCAAUCCAAAACAACGGACUUCUUUUGUUUCAUGUCAGUUCAGCUUCCUACAAACAAAAUUAAAGCAGCAUUGGGUUAGUAAUUGGAAAUGCAUAUCAAAGAGAAGAAGCUUAACUCAAAACAGAUUUUCCUAACCAUCUUCAAUGUACAUGUGUAGGAGGAAUGCAUUCUUUAUUUGUAGCAGUGCAAAUGUCAGUGAUUACAAACAUGUGUGUGACUGUU